AUUGAACGCUGGCGGCAUGCCUUACACAUGCAAGUCGAACGGCAGCACGGGUGCUUGCACCUGGUGGCGAGUGGCGAACGGGUGAGUAAUACAUCGGAACAUGUCCUGUAGUGGGGGAUAGCCCGGCGAAAGCCGGAUUAAUACCGCAUACGAUCUACGGAUGAAAGCGGGGGACCUUCGGGCCUCGCGCUAUAGGGUUGGCCGAUGGCUGAUUAGCUAGUUGGUGGGGUAAAGGCCUACCAAGGCGACGAUCAGUAGCUGGUCUGAGAGGACGACCAGCCACACUGGGACUGAGACACGGCCCAGACGCCUACGGGAGGCAGCAGUGGGGAAUUUUGGACAAUGGGCGAAAGCCUGAUCCAGCAAUGCCGCGUGUGUGAAGAAGGCCUUCGGGUUGUAAAGCACUUUUGUCCGGAAAGAAAUCCUUGGCCCUAAUACGGUCGGGGGAUGACGGUACCGGAAGAAUAAGCACCGGCUAACUACGUG
This 486-nucleotide ribosomal RNA is filed under the name uncultured bacterium. RNAcentral's name for it is "partial 16S ribosomal RNA". It matches the Rfam family "Bacterial small subunit ribosomal RNA", at positions 30 to 507 of the family's 1533-position model. The record is from RNAcentral.